GCUGGGUGCGGUGGCUCACAUCUGUAAUCCCAGCAUUCAGGAGGCUGAGAUGGGCGGAUCACCUGAGGUCAGGAGUUCAAGACCAGCCUGGCCAACAUGGUGAAACCCCAUCUCUA
RNAcentral lists this non-coding RNA (116 nucleotides) under Pan troglodytes (chimpanzee). Lineage: Eukaryota; Metazoa; Chordata; Mammalia; Primates; Hominidae. The record is from Rfam by way of RNAcentral.